GCAACGAGCGCAACCCCUAUUGUUAGUUGCCAUCAUUCAGUUGGGCACUCUAGCGAGACUGCCGGUAAUAAACCCGGAGGAAGGUGGGAUGACGUCAAAUCAUCAUGCCCCUUAUGACCUGGGCUACACACGUGCUACAAUGGUUGGUACAACGAGUUGCGAGUCGGUGACGGCGAGCUAAUCUCUUAAAGCCAAUCUCAGUUCGGAUUGUAGGCUGCAACUCGCCUACAUGAAGUCGGAAUCGCUAGUAAUCGCGGAUCAGCACGCCGCGGUGAAUACGUUCCCGGCCUU
This 291-nucleotide ribosomal RNA is filed under the name uncultured Streptococcus sp. RNAcentral describes it as "partial 16S ribosomal RNA". It matches the Rfam family "Bacterial small subunit ribosomal RNA", at positions 1089 to 1381 of the family's 1533-position model. The record is from RNAcentral. Lineage: Bacteria; Bacillati; Bacillota; Bacilli; Lactobacillales; Streptococcaceae.